RNAcentral lists this ribosomal RNA (253 nucleotides) under uncultured bacterium. RNAcentral describes it as "partial 16S ribosomal RNA". It matches the Rfam family "Bacterial small subunit ribosomal RNA", at positions 524 to 776 of the family's 1533-position model. The record is from RNAcentral. RNAcentral also lists the same sequence under 1 other name.
UACGUAGGGUGCAAGCGUUGUCCGGAAUUAUUGGGCGUAAAGAGCUCGUAGGCGGUUUGUCGCGUCUGCUGUGAAAACGCAAGGCUCAACCUUGCGCCUGCAGUGGGUACGGGCAGACUAGAGUGUGGUAGGGGAGAUUGGAAUUCCUGGUGUAGCGGUGGAAUGCGCAGAUAUCAGGAGGAACACCGAUGGCGAAGGCAGAUCUCUGGGCCAUUACUGACGCUGAGGAGCGAAAGCGUGGGGAGCGAACAGG